GACGAACGCUGGCGGCGUGCCUAACACAUGCAAGUCGAGCGAUGAAGCCCUUCGGGGUGGAUUAGCGGCGGACGGGUGAGUAACACGUGGGUAACCUGCCUUAUAGAGGGGGAUAGCCUUCCGAAAGGAAGAUUAAUACCGCAUAAAAUGUUUGUAUCGCAUGGUACGAACAUCAAAGGAGUAAUCCGCUAUAAGAUGGACCCGCGGCGCAUUAGCUAGUUGGUGAGGUAAAGGCCCACCAAGGCGACGAUGCGUAGCCGACCUGAGAGGGUGAUCGGCCACAUUGGAACUGAGACACGGUCCAGACUCCUACGGGAGGCAGCAGUGGGGAAUAUUGCGCAAUGGGGGAAACCCUGACGCAGCAACGCCGCGUGAAUGAAGAAGGCCUUAGGGUUGUAAAGUUCUGUUUUCUGGGACGAUAAUGACGGUACCAGAGGAGGAAGCCACGGCUAACUACGUG
Molecule: ribosomal RNA, 460 nt
Filed under: uncultured organism
Description: bacterial SSU rRNA
Rfam family: Bacterial small subunit ribosomal RNA
Source: RNAcentral